RNA transcript from Eurytemora carolleeae, 2092 nucleotides. It is a transcript of the gene named ubiquitin-conjugating enzyme E2 R2, with no coding region annotated. NCBI's taxonomy places the organism in Eukaryota, Metazoa, Arthropoda, Copepoda, Calanoida, Temoridae. The transcript has 7 exons. The record is from RefSeq and is a predicted model, not a curated record.
UUCAGCUGAUUAUCUUGAAUUCUCUAAUUUGUGAGAGGUUCUUCUGUGUAGUAUUGUCGCAACACUAGAUACAGGCGCUGCAGAAAUACGCAGUUUAGUUCUUUGUGGAUUAAAUAUUAUUCGAGCGGGACUUAUAUUACAAUUUCAACUAGAGUAUCUUGAAACUUAUCUAAUGAUUAAAAUAUAGUCAACUAAAAUUGGUCGAAAUUAUGUCUAAGUGAUAUUAAAAAGACAUCUUGUGUUGUAACUUUUUGUGCGUGCAUUUAAGCGUUGCCAGAGCGCUGAACAAUAAACGAGCUUAGCUUUAACCCUAGCCAUGGCGAGUAGUGCAGUCAGAGCAUUGGCCUUAGAGUACAAAUCCCUUCAAGAGGAGCCCGUGGAAGGGUUUAGGGUCAAACUACUCAACGAUGAUGAUCUGUUUGUGUGGGAAGUUGCCCUGUUUGGCCCCCCGGAUACCCUGUACCAGGGGGGGUAUUUCAAGGCCCAUCUGAAGUUCCCCACAGAUUACCCCUACAAUCCACCCUCAGUUCGUUUCCUCAGUAAAGUAUGGCAUCCUAAUGUUUAUGAGAAUGGGGAUCUGUGUAUAUCUAUCCUGCAUCCACCAGUAGACGAUCCUCAGAGUGGAGAGCUGGCUUGUGAAAGGUGGAAUCCAACCCAGAACGUUAGAACCGUUCUUCUCUCUGUAGUUAGUCUUCUCAACGAACCAAAUACUUUCAGUCCCGCAAAUGUGGACGCCAGCGUGAUGUACCGGCGGUGGAAGGAGAGCAAGGGUCGGGACAAGGAGUACGAGAAUAUCAUCAAGUAUUGUCUCAAGCCGAAGGCAAAACCCCCAACUCAGGAGAACAUCGACAUGACUGAUUUCUACGACGACGACUACGAUCUUGAUGACGACUAUGACGAUUAUGACGAGGAGGAAGACGAAGCUGCCGACGACACGGACGAUUCUGGGACUGGAAAGGUUUAAGUAGAGGUGACGGAAUCUUGAUGAAAAUUCAAACUGAAAAUUAGGCAAUAGUGCAUUCUUACUGCAGAUUAUUUUAUACCCGUUAAUCCCAGUUAAUUACAGAUUAAUUUUGCACAUUCAUCAUUGGUGGAUUAGUCAUUAGUUUCCUACUCUCUUCAUUAAUCUCAUUAAACUCCUGCUCAGACUAAUAAUACAUUGGACUGUUUUCUGACCGCUCUUAGACCAAAAUGUUGAAGAUAACCGUUCAUGUGAUUAAAUCUCUUUCUCUUUUAUUUUUAAUCUCAACAUUCUACGCAUUAAAUUUGUGACGAGUUUAAAAGAAUUGCGUCAUUCUCUAUGCGUAUGCAUAAACAUAUACUCAUUCAGGGAUCAAUAUAUUCUACCCAAAUAUUAAGAUUUUCUUAUCUGAGGGUUAACGUCACUGUAUAUUUUAGUCAGUAUUAUUUAUGAAUAAUAUAAAUUUUUAGAUAAUUUGAAAAUAUUGGUAGAAUAUAUUUAUUUCUCAGCACAAUUGUGCUUAAACCUUUGAGAACAAAUAAAGCUACAUAUUUUGCUCUGCUCUGAGUUAGACUUUUACGAACUGGUCUCGAAUCAAAACAAAAAAGCUGAUGUUUAUUGCUGCUGAUUCAAGACAUUGUUCGUUCAUUCUUACUUUUUUGUUCUUUCUGGAUUUUAAAUAUAAUGUAAACUAAAGUAUUUACCCAUCACAUGCAUCCAUUCAUCUAUUCAUCCUUGUAUAACACGUGUCUAGGUUUAUAUGCUUAUUAUUUAUUGAACACGUAUCGUAAAAGUUUAUUAGUAAGAUAUGUAUAUUUGUAGCUGUUCAUCACAAUGUAGCAAAGUUUCGUUUUACGCUAGUUGCUGAAUCCUAUCCACAUAUUUUUUUUAAAUCAAGAUAAUUGGCAUUUAAUCUUUAUACGUCCAGUUUUCGUUUCCAUCAAUCUAAAUCUACAAAUAAAGAAAUAGAUGUGUAAUUGAUUUUACAGCACCUUCACGGUUUCACCUUUGACGACUAUUUGUGUUAAGAUUAAGUCUAACUCUUGCUAAAUGUGUAAUUUUUGUAAUAUUUAAAAGAACUGAUUGUUUUUAAGGCUGAAGAAUGACGAAAUAGAAAUUAGAAGAAAACUU